UCCACCACUGCCCAACGCCUCUCUCUCUCACCACCACCAACCACCACCACCACUGCCAGCGGCUCUCUCUCUCUGGUUGUUCGCUCACCGAUUAGUGCUAUACAUACACAAACACACACAUUCACCACUGCUUUUCUCAUCUCCCUCAAUCGUGUUUCUAGCACUGCUCUCGCGCCGGCGUCGUGGCUGCCGCCGGCCGCGCUGCACCACCACUCGGCUAUGCCGCCCCGUAAGUGCUCCCCUCCCCUUAUCUCUCCAUCAGACCCCCCACUAGAUUUAGUGAUUCUGUUCAAUUAUUUAGUGAUUCUGUUCAAGUCAUUUAGUGAUUGUUUGUACGUUUGUACACUAAGGAGUUUGUAUUUGAACACUUGCCUAUAUAUAUA
Molecule: long non-coding RNA, 383 nt
Filed under: Daucus carota (carrot)
Lineage: Eukaryota; Viridiplantae; Streptophyta; Magnoliopsida; Apiales; Apiaceae
Description: long non-coding RNA (DCAR_LNC001912)
Source: RNAcentral